GAGAAUGAUGUAGACUUGGCAAUUCAUGUUUGUAUUACCCAGAACACCUUCAUCUCCAGAGAGAAAUCCUGUUCUUGUUGUUGAAAGAAUAAUGCGUGGUUUAGGGAGAAAACCAGUGAACUCUUAAAAAUAGAUGGGGAUGUUCUUCAAGAAAAAGUAGAACUUGGUUCUUCAUGUAAUUCAUUACAUAGGUUCAAAGCCCAACUUAGAGAGACCAUAAUU
This 222-nucleotide unclassified non-coding RNA is filed under the name Hevea brasiliensis (rubber tree). Lineage: Eukaryota; Viridiplantae; Streptophyta; Magnoliopsida; Malpighiales; Euphorbiaceae. The record is from RNAcentral.